UUAGUCAAAAUGCCAGGGAAGAAAAACACAAACUAUGCUUGUGAGAAAAGUUAAUUUACAGAACGCACUGGCUAGUUCUGUGUCAAGUUGACAGCAGCUAGAGUCAUUCUGGAAGAGAGAACUUCAGCUGGAAAAAUGUCCCCAUGAGGUCUGCCUGUGGGCCUCGUUCUGCUCUGUUUGGCUGUGCUCGUGUGUUAACAGUCGCACUAUCAAUCUCAUGGAUCCUCUGUUUCUCACAUUUGCCCGACAACCCCCACUGGACCAUUGCGUGUAACAGGAGACCAGAAACAGCACAGCGCUGCCGUAAAACGGUGGCUCCAAGCCACAUUCAACAGGUUCAAACCAAGGCAUCACUACCUAGAAGUUCUGUGACUGUCCCCAAUGUGUUCAGUUUCUCCGUACCACUGGUGCCCUUCUCUGUAGAAUACAGAGCAGUGAAGCUCGCGCUAGAGAGCUGUUGUGAAGAUUAAAUGAGUUAAUAACUUUAA
Long non-coding RNA from Mesocricetus auratus (golden hamster), 488 nucleotides. RefSeq lists it as uncharacterized. The record is from RefSeq and is a predicted model, not a curated record. NCBI's taxonomy places the organism in Eukaryota, Metazoa, Chordata, Mammalia, Rodentia, Cricetidae. The transcript has 2 exons.